UUGAAUUCAGAACCUGUUGGUGGGAAGGAG
This 30-nucleotide non-coding RNA is filed under the name Rattus norvegicus (Norway rat). Lineage: Eukaryota; Metazoa; Chordata; Mammalia; Rodentia; Muridae. The record is from RNAcentral.